CAGUAGCCGCGGUAAUACGGAGGAUCCAAGCGUUAUCCGGAUUUAUUGGGUUUAAAGGGUGCGUAGGUGGCCUGUUAAGUCAGGGGUGAAAGACGGUAGCUCAACUAUCGCAGUGCCCUUGAUACUGAUGGGCUUGAAUGAACUAGAGGUAGGCGGAAUGUGACAAGUAGCGGUGAGAUGCAUAGAUAUGUCACAGAACACCAAUUGCGAAGGCAGCUUACUAUGGUUUUAUUGACACUGAGGCACGAAAGCGUGGGGAUCAAACAGGAUUAGAGACCCCAGUAGUCCCUGUCUCUUAUAA
RNAcentral lists this ribosomal RNA (301 nucleotides) under uncultured bacterium. Its description in RNAcentral is "partial 16S ribosomal RNA". It matches the Rfam family "Bacterial small subunit ribosomal RNA", at positions 509 to 809 of the family's 1533-position model. The record is from RNAcentral.